UGGGGAAUAUUGCACAAUGGGCGAAAGCCUGAUGCAGCAACGCCGCGUGAGUGAUGAAGGCCUUCGGGUUGUAAAGCUCUGUCUUUUGGGACGAUAAUGACGGUACCAAAGGAGGAAGCCACGGCUAACUACGUGCCAGCAGCCGCGGUAAUACGUAGGUGGCAAGCGUUGUCCGGAUUUACUGGGCGUAAAGGAUGCGUAGGCGGAUUUUUAAGUGAGAUGUGAAAACCCUAAGCUUAACUUGGGGACUGCAUUUCAUACCGGAAAUCUAGAGUGCGGGAGAGGAGAAUGGAAUUCCUAGUGUAGCGGUGAAAUGCGUAGAGAUUAGGAAGAACACCAGUGGCGAAGGCGAUUCUCUGGACCGUAACUGACGCUGAGGCAUGAAAGCGUGGGUAGCAAAACAGGAUUAGAUACCCUGGUAGUCCACGCCGUAAACGAUGAGUACUAGGUGCAGGAGGUAUCGACCCCUUCUGUGCCGCAGUUAACACAAUAAGUACUCCGCCUGGGAAGUACGAUCGCAAGAUUAAAACUCAAAUGAAUUGACGGGGUCAUAGCUGUUUCCUG
This 564-nucleotide ribosomal RNA is filed under the name uncultured bacterium. RNAcentral describes it as "partial 16S ribosomal RNA". It matches the Rfam family "Bacterial small subunit ribosomal RNA", at positions 355 to 1376 of the family's 1533-position model. The record is from RNAcentral.